This 370-nucleotide ribosomal RNA is filed under the name uncultured Bacteroidota bacterium. RNAcentral's name for it is "bacterial SSU rRNA". It matches the Rfam family "Bacterial small subunit ribosomal RNA", at positions 97 to 463 of the family's 1533-position model. Lineage: Bacteria; Pseudomonadati; Bacteroidota. The record is from RNAcentral.
GGCAAACGGGUUGCGUAACACGUUACGCAACUUACCCAUUUACAGGGGAAUAGCCCAGGGAAACUUGGAUUAAUACCCCAUAUUAUAUAGAACUGGCAUCAGUUUUAUAUCAAAGCUUCGGCGGUAAUGGAUGGGCGUGCGGUUGAUUAGAUAGUUGGCGGGGUAACGGCCCACCAAGUCUACGAUCAAUAGCUGAUGUGAGAGCAUGAUCAGCCACACGGGCACUGAGACACGGGCCCGACUCCUACGGGAGGCAGCAGUAAGGAAUAUUGGGCAAUGGACGAAAGUCUGACCCAGCCAUGCCGCGUGAAGGAUGAAGGUCCUCUGGAUUGUAAACUUCUUUUAUCUGGGGCGAAAAUCACCCUUUCUA